This 348-nucleotide ribosomal RNA is filed under the name uncultured bacterium. Its description in RNAcentral is "bacterial SSU rRNA". It matches the Rfam family "Bacterial small subunit ribosomal RNA", at positions 917 to 1267 of the family's 1533-position model. The record is from RNAcentral.
GGGCCCGCACAAGCGGUGGAGUAUGUGGUUUAAUUCGAUGCAACGCGAAGAACCUUACCAGGGUUUGACAUCCUGCGAAUCUCUUGGAAACAGGAGAGUGCCUUCGGGAACGCAGUGACAGGUGGUGCAUGGCUGUCGUCAGCUCGUGUCGUGAGAUGUUGGGUUAAGUCCCGCAACGAGCGCAACCCACGUCUUUAGUUGCCAGCAUUUAGUUGGGCACUCUAGAGAAACUGCCAGCGUAAGCUGUGAGGAAGGUGGGGAUGACGUCAAAUCAUCACGGCCUUACAUCCUGGGCCACACACGUACUACAAUGCUACGGACAAAGGGCAGCAAGUUCGCGAGGACAAG